UUUUGCUGGGCUGCUGAAAACAUUUGAGCUGCAGUUUUACAUACUGUAUUCUUGUUUCUUCUGCUAUCAGGAUCUGGACUGUUUAGGAAGGAAAUGUAGAGUUAACAUCUGCAAUCUGACGUGGUCUUCCUCUUCAGAAAAAUACUGUUUCUGGCAUUCAUGUUGGGAAAGAGGAGCCAUCCUUUCCAAGACUUUCAGUAUAGGCAUGCUUCUAGGAAGCAUACUGACCAUGAGGAAGCCCACGUGUUAGUGACCAGUUUUUGCUAAUCCCACCGAAGAAAAUGAAGCCACGUUCCAGCUUUGCCGAUCCUUUUCCCACCCUGUUGGCUGAAUGAGAAGCGGUCGUGU
RNAcentral lists this long non-coding RNA (348 nucleotides) under Ficedula albicollis (Collared flycatcher). RNAcentral's name for it is "lncRNA (ENSFALG00000023809.1)". The record is from RNAcentral. Lineage: Eukaryota; Metazoa; Chordata; Aves; Passeriformes; Muscicapidae.